RNAcentral lists this ribosomal RNA (470 nucleotides) under uncultured Alcaligenes sp. RNAcentral's name for it is "bacterial SSU rRNA". It matches the Rfam family "Bacterial small subunit ribosomal RNA", at positions 327 to 785 of the family's 1533-position model. The record is from RNAcentral. Lineage: Bacteria; Pseudomonadati; Pseudomonadota; Betaproteobacteria; Burkholderiales; Alcaligenaceae.
GGGCCCAGACCUCCUACGGGAGGCAGCAGUGGGGAAUUUUUGGACAAUGGGGGAAACCCUUGAUCCAGCCAUCCCGCGUGUGCGAUGAAGGCCUUCGGGUUGUAAAGCACUUUUGGCAGGAAAGAAACGUCAUGGGCUAAUACCCCGUGAAACUGACGGUACCUGCAGAAUAAGCACCGGCUAACUACGUGCCAGCAGCCGCGGUAAUACGUAGGGUGCAAGCGUUAAUCGGAAUUACUGGGCGUAAAGCGUGCGCAGGCGGUUCGGAAAGAAAGAUGUGAAAUCCCAGAGCUUAACUUUGGAACUGCAUUUUUAACUACCGAGCUUGAGUGUGUCAGAGGGAGGUGGAAUUCCGCGUGUAGCAGUGAAAUGCUGUAGAUAUGCGGAGGAACACCGAUGGCGAAGGCAGCCUCCUGGGAUAACACUGACGCUCAUGCACGAAAGCGUGGGGAGCAAACAGGAUUAGAUAC